ACGCUUGCACCCUCCGUCUUACCGCGGCUGCUGGCACGGAGUUAGCCGGUGCUUCUUUUGCGGGUAACGUCAAUUGAUAUUAAUUAUUAAUUAAUAUCACUUUCAGCGGGAAAGAAAGUGAUAUUAAUUAAUAAUUAAUAUCACUUUCUUUCAGCGGGAAAGAAAGUGAUAUUAAUUAAUAAUUAAUAUCACUUUCUUUCCCGCUGAAAGUGAUAUUAAUUAAUAAUUAAUAUCAAUUGACGUUACCCGCAAAAGAAGCACCGGCUAACUCCGUGCCAGCAGCCGCGGUAAGACGGAGGGUGCAAGCGUUAAUCGGAAUUACUGGGCGUAAAGCGUAUGCAGGCGGUUUAUUAAGUCAGAUGUGAAUGCCCUGGGCUUAACCUAGGAAUUGCAUUUGAAACUGAUAAGCUAGAGUCUCGUAGAGGGGGGGAGAAUUCCAAGUGUAGCGGUGAAAUGCGUAGAGAUUGGAAGAAUACCAGUGGCGAAGGCGCCCCCCUGGACGAAAACUGACGCUCAAAUACGAAAGCAUGGGGAGCAAACAGGAUUAGAUACCCUGGUAGUCCAUGCUGUAAACGAUGUCGAUUUGAAGGUUGUAGCCUUGAGCUAUAGCCUUCGAAGCUAACGCAUUAAAUCGACCGCCUGGGGAGUACGACCGCAAGGUUAAAACUCAAAUGAAUUGACGGGGGCCCGCACAAGCGGUGGAGCAUGUGGUUUAAUUCGAUGAGACGCGAAAAACCUUACCUACUCUUGACAUCCAGAGUAUCAAACAGAAAUGUUUGAGUGCCUUCGGGAACUCUGAGACAGGUGCUGCAUGGCUGUCGUCAGCUCGUGUUGUGAAAUGUUGGUUAAGUCCCGCAACGAGCGCAACCCUUAUACUUUGUUGCCAAUGAUUAAAUCAGGAACUCAAAGUAGACUGCCGGUGAUAAACCGGAGGAAGGUGAGGAUACGUCAAGUCAUCAUGGCCCUUACGAGUAGGGCUACACACGUGCUACAAUGGGGCAUACAAAGAGAAGCAAACUUGCAAAAGUUAGCAAAUCUCAUAAAAUGCUUCGUAGUCCGGAUUGGAGUCUGCAACUCGACUCUAUGAAGUAUUUUAUGAGAUUUGCUAACAGAUCGGAAGAGCAC
RNAcentral lists this ribosomal RNA (1125 nucleotides) under Candidatus Palibaumannia cicadellinicola. RNAcentral describes it as "bacterial SSU rRNA". It matches the Rfam family "Bacterial small subunit ribosomal RNA", at positions 33 to 1355 of the family's 1533-position model. Lineage: Bacteria; Pseudomonadati; Pseudomonadota; Gammaproteobacteria. The record is from RNAcentral.